Molecule: ribosomal RNA, 912 nt
Filed under: uncultured Candidatus Poseidoniales archaeon
Lineage: Archaea; Methanobacteriati; Thermoplasmatota; Candidatus Poseidoniia; Candidatus Poseidoniales
Description: bacterial SSU rRNA
Rfam family: Archaeal small subunit ribosomal RNA
Source: RNAcentral
UUCCGGUUGAUCCUGCCGGAAUCGACCGCUAUUGGAGUUCGAUUAAGCCAUGCGAGCCGAGAGCUUUAGGAGCUCGGCAUACUGCUCAGUAACACGUGGAUAACCUGCCCUGUGCUCCGGGAUAACCUCGGGAAACUGAGAAUAAUACCGGAUAGUCCACCACGCCUGGAACGGUGGGUGGAUCAAAGGUCACGGCACAGGAUGGGUCUGCGGCGUAUCAGGUUGUAGGGGGUGUAAAGGACCCCCUAGCCAUUGACGCGUACGGGUUGUGGGAGCAAUCGCCCGGAGAUGGAUUCUGAGACACGAAUCCAGACCCUACGGGGUGCAGCAGGCGCGAAAACUUCACACUGCAGGAAACUGUGAUGAGGGAACUCCAAGUGCGUGCACAAUGUGUAUACUUUUCCUUACUUUUAAUCGGUUUGGGAAUAAGGGCUGGGAAAGACCGGUGCCAGCCGCCGCGGUAAUACCGGCAGCUCAAGUGGUCGUCGCUUUUAUUGGGCCUAAAACGUCCGUAGCCUGUUUGGUAAAUCUGUGGGUAAAUCAACCAGCUCAACUGGUUGAAUUCUGCAGAGACUGCCAGACUAGGGACCGGGAGAGGUGUGGGGUACUCUCGGGGUAGGGGUAAAAUCCUGUCAUCCUGGGAGGAUCACCAGUUGCGAAGGCGCCACACUGGAACGGAUCCGACGGUCAGGGACGAAGCCUAGGGGCACGAACCGGAUUAGAUACCCGGGUAGUCCUAGGAGUAAACGCUGUGAACUUGGUGUCGGGGAUCCUACUUGGGUUCCCGGUGCCGGAGUGAAGAUGUUAAGUUCACUGCCUGGGGAGUACGGUCGCAAGGCUGAAACUUAAAGGAAUUGGCGGGGGAGCACUGCAACGGGAGGAGCGUGCGGUUUAAUUGGAGUCAACGCCGGG